This 464-nucleotide ribosomal RNA is filed under the name uncultured bacterium. Its description in RNAcentral is "partial 16S ribosomal RNA". It matches the Rfam family "Bacterial small subunit ribosomal RNA", at positions 28 to 507 of the family's 1533-position model. The record is from RNAcentral.
GACGAACGCUGGCGGCGUGCUUAACACAUGCAAGUCGAACGGAAAGGCCCUGCUUGCAGGGUACUCGAGUGGCGAACGGGUGAGUAACACGUGGGUGAUCUGCCCUGCACUUCGGGAUAAGCCUGGGAAACUGGGUCUAAUACCGGAUAGGAGCCAUUUUUAGUGUGAUGGUUGGAAAGUUUUUUCGGUGUAGGAUGAGCUCGCGGCCUAUCAGCUUGUUGGUGGGGUAAUGGCCUACCAAGGCGGCGACGGGUAGCCGGCCUGAGAGGGUGGACGGCCACAUUGGGACUGAGAUACGGCCCAGACUCCUACGGGAGGCAGCAGUGGGGAAUAUUGCACAAUGGGCGCAAGCCUGAUGCAGCGACGCCGCGUGGGGGAUGACGGCCUCGGGUUGUAAACUCCUUUCGCUAGGGACGAAGCUUUUUGUGACGGUACCUAGAUAAGAAGCACCGGCUAACUACGUG